This 342-nucleotide non-coding RNA is filed under the name Bos taurus (domestic cattle). RNAcentral's name for it is "Eukaryotic large subunit ribosomal RNA". It matches the Rfam family "Eukaryotic large subunit ribosomal RNA", at positions 2488 to 2805 of the family's 3401-position model. RNAcentral also lists the same sequence under 1 other name. The record is from Rfam by way of RNAcentral. Lineage: Eukaryota; Metazoa; Chordata; Mammalia; Artiodactyla; Bovidae.
UCUGAAUUGCAGCUUGUGGGAACUUCCAUCUUCAUUGUGCCAUGCGGGAUCCUUAGUUGCAGGAUAUUUUCUUUAAAAAAGGGUCUUUUUUUAAAAAAAAAAAAGAAAGAAAGAAAGAAAGAUCCUUGUACCACCUGGGCGCAACUCACUCUGGGGACAGUGCCGCGUGGGGAGUCUGACUGGGACAGUACACCUGUCAAAGGUAACGCAGGUAUUCUAAGGCGAGCUCGGGGGAGACAGAAACCUCCCGUGGAGCAGAAGGGCAAGAGCUCGCUUGAUCUUGAUUUUCAGUACGAAUACAGACCUUGAAAGCGGACCCUUUUUUAAAUAAAUAAAGAGCUG